GCAUAAUCAUUUGCCUUUUAAUUAGAGGCUUGUAUGAACGGACACACGUAAGCUAAGCUGUCUCAUUAAUAACUAUAAAAAUUAACCUCUAGGUGAAGAGACCUAGAUCAUAUAAAAAGACGAAAAGACCCUAUGGAGCUUUACUUACGUUUGAAACUAAAUAAAAAUAUAAAAAAUAUAAUUUUCUUAUAAAGUUUAGUUGGGGCGACUAAGGAGCACAAAAAACCCUCCUCUUAAUAAAAGAAAAUAACUCUUCUAUAGAUCCGCCUAAGCGAAUAAAAAAUCAGCUACCCUAGGGAUAACAGGCUAAUCCUCCUUGAGAGCCCAAAUUGACAGGAGGGGUUGGCACCUCGAUGUUGGCUUAAGGUUCCUCCAAAGUGCAGCAGCUUUGAAAGUAGGUUUGUUCACCCUUUAAAACCUU
This 421-nucleotide ribosomal RNA is filed under the name Prionospio sp. 29 PB. RNAcentral's name for it is "partial 16S ribosomal RNA". It matches the Rfam family "Bacterial large subunit ribosomal RNA", at positions 1959 to 2597 of the family's 2925-position model. Lineage: Eukaryota; Metazoa; Annelida; Polychaeta; Spionida; Spionidae. The record is from RNAcentral.